Molecule: ribosomal RNA, 263 nt
Filed under: uncultured archaeon
Lineage: Archaea
Description: partial 16S ribosomal RNA
Rfam family: Archaeal small subunit ribosomal RNA
Source: RNAcentral
AGUCACUGACAUUAGAUACCCCCGUAGUCCAGGGUGUAAACGCUGCAGACUUGGUGUUGGAAGCCCUUUGGGGGCAUUCAUGCCGGAGAGAAGUUGUUAAGUCUGCUACUUGGGGAGUACGUCCGCAAGGAUGAAACUUAAAGGAAUCGGCGGGGGAGCACCGCAACGGGAGGAGCGUGCGGUUUAAUUGGAUUCAACACCGUAAACUCACCAGGGAAGACUGUUACAUGAAGGCCGAGAUGAAGACUCUGCCAGAUUUUCAG